RNAcentral lists this ribosomal RNA (460 nucleotides) under uncultured bacterium. Its description in RNAcentral is "partial 16S ribosomal RNA". It matches the Rfam family "Bacterial small subunit ribosomal RNA", at positions 338 to 795 of the family's 1533-position model. The record is from RNAcentral.
CCUACGGGUGGCAGCAGUGAGGAAUAUUGGUCAAUGGGCGCGAGCCUGAACCAGCCAAGUAGCGUGAAGGAUGACUGCCCUACGGGUUGUAAACUUCUUUUAUAAAGGAAUACAGUGAGGCACGCGUGCCUUUUUGUAUGUACUUUAUGAAUAAGCAUCGGCUAACUCCGUGCCAGCAGCCGCGGUAAUACGGAGGAUCCGAGCGUUAUCCGGAUUUAUUGGGUUUAAAGGGGGCGUAGCUGGGUUGUUACGUCCGUUGUGAAAGUUUGCGACUCAACCGUAAAAUUGCAAUUGAUACUGGCAGUCUAGAGUAGAGUUGAGGUAGGCGGAAUGCGUGGUGUAGCGGUGAAAUGCUUAGAUAUCGCGAAGAACUCCGAUUGCGAAGGCAGCUUACUAAACUGCCACUGACGUUGAUGCUCGAAAGUGUGGGUAUCAAACAGGAUUAGAUACCCCGGUAGUC